Long non-coding RNA from Pocillopora damicornis (cauliflower coral), 639 nucleotides. The record is from RefSeq and is a predicted model, not a curated record. Lineage: Eukaryota; Metazoa; Cnidaria; Anthozoa; Scleractinia; Pocilloporidae.
AUACUCAAUACGUUGUAGGUCAUUUUUUAUAACCAAAAACUGGAUCAUUUUAAACACCUUACCUCUUACUAACCCUCGAGAUCGAAAACUCAGCGACACUGUGAUUUCUGGCAAUUUGAUUAUGCAUCUAACGAUAGAAAAGUGAGUAACUCAAUAAACAAGUAACGAUUUACAUCUUUGCCAAUUGAAAUUACACGUUUUCCUCGGGGUCGGUGUACGGGCGAUGUCGUGGGAGCUUUGUCAACAUUGUAAAAUUUAUCCAAAAUUUUUCAAGUGAUCCCUGUCAGAUUUCUCCAUUUUCAUCGUUACUAAGAGCACCUAACGGCAUUUGCAAAGGUGUGUGGUGUUACGAUAGUUGGCAGAAAGCGCCUUCAAAUCCACUAAGAAUUCUUUCUAAUUUUGUUCAAAAUAAUUUCAGAUAACAGAGGAAGGCUACAAAUAUAUUUCCAUGGGUUGUGGUACUUUGACAACGAUUAUUUUGAAUCAGCUGCCAGGAUUGAGGGACGGGUGUAUACAGGCAUUGACAUCCGAAUGUCGCACAUUGAAGAACGUUUCUAUCAUGAACUCGCCAUUCUUAUCGGAUGCUGCAUUCAAAUGCCUGGCAUCGUGUAAGAAACUUAACAAGAUUAGAGUCGAAGG